AUUGAACACUGGCGGAAUGCUUUACACAUGCAAGUCGAACGGCAGCACGGACUUCGGUCUGGUGGCGAGUGGCGAACGGGUGAGUAAUACAUCGGAACGUGCCCAGUCGUGGGGGAUAACGUAGCGAAAGCUACGCUAAUACCGCAUACGAUCUAAGGAUGAAAGCGGGGGAUCGCAAGACCUCGCGCGAUUGGAGCGGCCGAUGGCAGAUUAGGUAGUUGGUAGGGUAAAGGCCUACCAAGCCGACGAUCUGUAGCUGGUCUGAGAGGAUGAGCAGCCACACUGGGACUGAGACACGGCCCAGACUCCUACGGGAGGCAGCAGUGGGGAAUUUUGGACAAUGGGCGCAAGCCUGAUCCAGCCAUUCCGCGUGCAGGAUGAAGGCCUUCGGGUUGUAAACUGCUUUUGUACAGAACGAAAAGGCUCUGGUUAAUACCCGGGGCUCAUGACGGUACUGUAAGAAUAAGCACCGGCUAACUACGUGCCAGCAGCCGCCGUAA
RNAcentral lists this ribosomal RNA (500 nucleotides) under uncultured bacterium. RNAcentral describes it as "partial 16S ribosomal RNA". It matches the Rfam family "Bacterial small subunit ribosomal RNA", at positions 30 to 523 of the family's 1533-position model. The record is from RNAcentral.